Culex pipiens (northern house mosquito) is the source of this 72-nucleotide transfer RNA. It matches the Rfam family "tRNA". Rfam says of the family: Transfer RNA (tRNA) molecules are approximately 80 nucleotides in length. Lineage: Eukaryota; Metazoa; Arthropoda; Insecta; Diptera; Culicidae. The record is from Rfam.
CCCUCGGUGGCUGAGUGGCUAGAGCAUCUGACUACCAAUCCAAAGGUGUGAGUUCGAAUCCCACCUGAUUGA